This 28-nucleotide small RNA is filed under the name Bombyx mori (domestic silkworm). RNAcentral's name for it is "ovarian small RNA-22555". Lineage: Eukaryota; Metazoa; Arthropoda; Insecta; Lepidoptera; Bombycidae. The record is from RNAcentral.
UAGCUGUUGAGUCCCGUUCAGAAGUGGA